GCUUACUGAUAUCUCUGCCACAGGCUUCAGGGUUUGUUUUUGCAAGUUUUGUGCACACUACGUUAAGCAAGCCAGUCUGUGUGUGACCACUAGAGUCAGACUCCUUUGGCUCUCUCCUGGUACCUGAUGGAAGCAAAUGGGGCUUGUCAAACUCCAGAGGUCCUGACAACUGCCGUAAAGUCAUGUACUUGUCCAGCAGACUGGGAAUGAUGAUGAGUUUGAAAAGGAAUCCAGAGACAGCCUGUGAAUUCCCCUGUCCAUGGCUGAACAAGGGUAAAUAAUAAGGCAGCACUCCGUUGUGGAUUCAAACCGAGAUUCCAGCUCUUAACAACGAUUGAAAGCACCCACGGGUGUGUGAAGAAGUCAGAGACAACAGCACAUCAAUUAUGAAGCCCUGUACUUUAUCUACUGCUGGCAAAAGAAAAGGUUAAUUAUCUAAAAAUAAAGCAACUCUAUGCUGGUGCAGGAGGGUGAACUGGAAGGAGGGCUGUUGAACAAACAAGAUAAGGUUGUGAUCUACAAUGUUAGAAGACGGAAGCUGAAUAAGAAACUGUCCAGUAUAACCUGUCACUCACAGGCAAAUUGCAGGGCUGAAAACUCUUGACUAAAAUAAAUGGACUACGUCAUGUCUUUUAAUAAGCCUUUUCUGACUCUGACAUUGAAACCAACAGGUGCCAAGGAGCCAUAGACACACUCAUACCCACUUAGUUACUCCAAGGCUGUACAUGUUCAAAUGACUUAUCACACCACAGCAAGCCAAAGACUUGAGGACUGAGAUCAGAGCUGAAUUUCUUUAAUGUUUCUGCUGCCAGUAACUUUUUGCAGAUGUGAAUUUGAAGGCACAUCUCUCCAAAGCACUGUUAUGUUUAAGGUUUUACUCUCCAUGAGCAUCCAUGAAUCACAAAAGGUCUGGGGAGUUGAGGAAGCACCAGAAAGCUUGGGGUGUGGUUCACCACUGCAGACACACAGGCAGGUAGCUGGCAUCCUUCAGUGUUCAUUAAGACUGCUGUACUAGAGAAAAACUCAGUAACCAUCAGUGGCUCUGCCAUAGGAACCCAAACAGGCAAGAUUACAUAAGAGCAAGAAAGAAGCUACACUCAUCUAGUUUACCUUCCUUAUUUUAAGGCCUGCCAGGCAGCCAAGGACCUCACAAGUAGGCACCAGCUACAUAUUUACGGCAGCAACUCCUCCAGCCUGGGAUAAUAGAUAAGAGAGUAUGAGAAAUAUGGAAUCAAACCCAUUGAGUGAAAAGGAAAAUCACCAAUAAGACCAAUAGCACUCUAACAGAGUCUAUAAUAUAGAUCUUAACUACAGCUUAGAGCCCGAAAUAUGUAGUCCUUAACGUUAUUUUUUUCUAAGUUCUUCAUUCCACUGGAACAAAAUUUUGAAGAUCCAUGAAUACUUUGGGUUUUAUAGCAGCUGAAAUUAUUGAAAAUCAUUACAGGUGUUUGCUGCAUUCUAUGCAACUCCCUCCAAGGAAAGAAGAGUGAAACACCAUCGCUGUAUAAAUAAAAGACCUGAGGCACUAAGAUGCUAAAAUUACUCAGUUAAUUGCACAUCACUAAUCUAUGGGGUUGGCAAACUUCUCAUCUCUUGUCUUUGAGCAGAUCCCUUAGUCAUGUAACAGUUCAUCUGAGUUAAAGAAGCUGCAUCAUAAAAGGAAAAAAAAUCCUGAACAACCCACUAGAAAAUGAUGAAUUUGGAUUAGCUUUUCAGGUCACUGUACUAAAUACUGCCACUAACAGUAUUAGAUUUACAU
Corapipo altera (White-ruffed manakin) is the source of this 1759-nucleotide long non-coding RNA. RefSeq lists it as uncharacterized. The transcript has 3 exons. NCBI's taxonomy places the organism in Eukaryota, Metazoa, Chordata, Aves, Passeriformes, Pipridae. The record is from RefSeq and is a predicted model, not a curated record.